AUUGAACGCUGGCGGCAUGCCUUACACAUGCAAGUCGAACGGCAGCACGGGUGCUUGCACCUGGUGGCGAGUGGCGAACGGGUGAGUAAUACAUCGGAACGUACCUUAUCGUGGGGGAUAACGCAGCGAAAGCUGUGCUAAUACCGCAUACGCCCUGAGGGGGAAAGCGGGGGAUCGCAAGACCUCGCGCGAUUAGAGCGGCCGAUGCCUGAUUAGCUUGUUGGUGGGGUAAAAGCCCACCAAGGCGACGAUCAGUAGCUGGUCUGAGAGGACGAUCAGCCACACUGGACUGAGACGCGGCCCAGACUCCUACGGGAGGCAGCAGUGGGGAAUUUUGGACAAUGGGGGCAACCCUGAUCCAGCAAUGCCGCGUGAGUGAAGAAGGCCUUCGGGUUGUAAAGCUCUUUUGUCAGGGAAGAAACACCGGCUCUAACACAGUCCGGGAAUGACGGUACCUGAAGAAUAAGCACCGGCUAACUACGUGCCAGCCGCCGCCGUAA
This 500-nucleotide ribosomal RNA is filed under the name uncultured bacterium. RNAcentral's name for it is "partial 16S ribosomal RNA". It matches the Rfam family "Bacterial small subunit ribosomal RNA", at positions 29 to 523 of the family's 1533-position model. The record is from RNAcentral.